AAUUUUUUGCCGCCGGGUAAACGAAGCGUUGAAUUUUGUAUCGACAGGCCUUUGAAGAUACAAAAAGCUCAGCGCUUUUUUC
Molecule: non-coding RNA, 82 nt
Filed under: unclassified sequences
Source: RNAcentral